RNAcentral lists this transfer RNA (82 nucleotides) under Niveomyces insectorum. RNAcentral's name for it is "Sporothrix insectorum tRNA-Leu". It matches the Rfam family "tRNA". Rfam says of the family: Transfer RNA (tRNA) molecules are approximately 80 nucleotides in length. Their secondary structure includes four short double-helical elements and three loops (D, anti-codon, and T loops). The record is from RNAcentral. Lineage: Eukaryota; Fungi; Ascomycota; Sordariomycetes; Hypocreales; Cordycipitaceae. RNAcentral also lists the same sequence under 1 other name.
GUUCGAAUGUUGGAAUUGGGAGACAAAGUAAGUUUAGGUCUUAUUGAUUAAAUUCAUGAAGGUUCAAGUCCUUCUUCGAAUA